Lathyrus oleraceus (garden pea) is the source of this 1562-nucleotide long non-coding RNA. RefSeq lists it as uncharacterized. The record is from RefSeq and is a predicted model, not a curated record. The transcript has 2 exons. Lineage: Eukaryota; Viridiplantae; Streptophyta; Magnoliopsida; Fabales; Fabaceae.
ACAGGGGUGCAGGCAGCGAAAUGCACAAACGUUUGGGCUUAGGGCCAAACUUCCAAGCCAUAAUCCAUUCCCUCCAUUCUUUGACCUACGUGACUGAAGCCAGAAAAUCAUCUUUCUUCAACGAAGCCAAACACGAAUAGAGAACUCGUCGUUGUGUCGUAUUUUCAUCUUCAACGCUCGCCUUCAUGCUUGUCCAAGAAACACGCCAACUUCACCAUGGUAUAUGUUUUUCCUUUCAACCACCGAUCCAAUAGUUCCACGACUUGAUGCUUAACAAAAUCCGCGCGUAACCAGAUGAGGAAAGUAAAUAUUAUGGAAGAUGGAUCAUGAACUCACCAGAUUCGAUUGCUCCAAUCACAAGCAGGUAUGCACCGUUGCUGAAAUCGCUUCUCCUCCUCUUCCUAUGAUCGUUGCGAACUCAAAGAAUGGAUGUGUGCUUCUGAGUAGUAAAUAGAGCUUUGAAUUUGGUGCGCUCUUGCGUUUGGUUGCUGCGUGUGAUGCUCUUUUUCUCUUGAUAUUGUUGAGCUUCUUCUUCCCCUUCUUCUAGAUGUAACCUAUGUUUUUGUUGGUUUUUGCCGAGAUGAAAUGGAGAAUGUGAAUAGAGAAAGUACUCAUAUCCCAGAGUGAAACUCAAGCUACAGAACUGAUCCCUCACUUGAAGAGAGGUGAGUCUUAUUUAUAGAGUCAUUCCUCUCUCAAAUCUAUUAGAAAUUCAGGUUAAAUGACAACCAAAUCCAAUCCAAACUACAUUGAAAUGUGAGCUUCAAAAUUGUUAAGUUAGUUGCGUUUGGAUUGAAUAUAUGUUAAAUUUGUUAGUUGAGUUUCUGUUAGAACGAAAUUUUGUUAUCCAAAUCUUAUGUUAAGUGAAUGAUUAUAGAAGUCAGUUGUGUUAGUAAUGUUAGAGGGAACAUUAAUUAGUUAUAAGAUGUGUGAGGUUGGAAUGAACAAUACUAUUAGUGUGAGUCAAUUUCCUGUUGAAUGACAAUUGUUAUUAAAAAUUUCCUUUCCUCAAAUUGUUUUGAAUAACACAGUUAAAGUUUGGUAUACUAUCUCCCCGCUAGAGGAUUCUGCAAUACUCUGGGUGUAAACUUCUGCCUUAUAAAGGCCGUGCAAUUUGGAAAGUGUUUUGAAUAAUCGGCUAUGCGUUUUAUAGGUCUUAAAAUUGAGCUGGAUCUUAUGAAGCUUGGAACUGGAUUUCGGGUCAUUGUAUUUUGGGUUUGAAAAUAUUGCAAAUGGAUUUUGGUUUUGCAGAUUGAACAUCAAGUUUGGCCAUGAGUAUGGAGUUAUGCAUAUAUAUGGUACUUGAAGCACAUUACCAAUGGGAAUUAUGGAUGUGAACAAAUUGAUAGAUUAGGAUUAGUUUUUUUUGUUGCUUAUUUUGAAAACUUGAAAUGUGGUAAUGUAUUAGAAUGAAUUUGGUUGUAAUUUGGAUGUACGUUUAAAUUGAAAUUUCAUUGAUUUUGAAGAAUGGAAUUUGAAUGGGAUGUAUGGAUAAUUCAUGGAAAUGUAUGAAACUUGAAUGUUUGAAAUUGAAAUUUGUAUGAAACUUGAAUAUUUGGAAA